CCCUCUUCGACCUGCCCAAGGCCUUCUGGGAGAAGGAGACCCAGGAGCUGAGGACGUACUUUACCCAGCAGGUGGGAGCCGACCUCCCCCAUCAGGUGGAGGGAGAGCUGAAGGCUCUGGAGGACAGGAUCAGGAAUUGAGAGGUGGAGGGACCAGAUGAUUCAGAGAGAGAAGAGAGAAAGUAUUGACUAUUGGACAUUAUACUACACUGAUGCUGCAAUAUUGUGGGGAUG
This is a non-coding RNA of Salmo salar (Atlantic salmon), 233 nucleotides long. The record is from RefSeq and is a predicted model, not a curated record. NCBI's taxonomy places the organism in Eukaryota, Metazoa, Chordata, Actinopteri, Salmoniformes, Salmonidae.